UUGAGUUUUGAAAAUUGUUAUAGAAGUGUAUUAUUGUAUUAUUACUCCAAUAAUAUGUUUUUUUGUGAUAUAUCAGUUUUGGCGGCUGUAUGACUUGUGACCCAUUCCUUUUCUUAAACUUUACAUCUUAUUCUAUUUAGGUUUUAUCCAUAUCAUUACACACCAUUGGCUUAUGAUGUAGGAAUGUGCACAACGAAACAUUUAAAAAGUAGCAAAGGGGGAAGAAACAAGGCAAGACAUCUGAGAGGGAUGUGAACAAGGUAAAGGUGGAUGAGAGGUCACAGUAACAAGUAUCAAAUAUUCAGCUGCAAAGGGGUCGAAAAGAUUGACUUGUAGUUGACUGAAGUUUACUAAAAUUGUUAAAUUUGUGAUGAUUUAUGAAGAGGGUUUCCAGUUAUGUUUGCGUACGAAAA
Molecule: long non-coding RNA, 413 nt
Organism: Helianthus annuus (common sunflower)
Lineage: Eukaryota; Viridiplantae; Streptophyta; Magnoliopsida; Asterales; Asteraceae
Exons: 2
Source: RefSeq, a predicted model, not a curated record